AAUCCUGCAAAUGGGAAAAUCAGGAUCGGUCACUAGUGCCUACUGAUAAUCCUUGCUGGCUGAGCACAUGCGAUCUGUAUAUAAUAAAAUUCCCCCCCAAAAAACUACAGGGGACAGAACCUAAAUCCUUGGUGAUUGGGUUAACGAGAACAUGGUCACAAAAUGGAAAGUUUAAUUAUAAUGCCUCUACUUCAUACUCAUUAAAAAGAAUAACAAAACAUACUUAUGAUUUUCUUUAAAAUAUGGGAGGGAAUUUAAUUUACAGAUGUAAGGGAGGGAAGGACAAAUUCCUAAAGUGGGGCGUGGUAGUUAAGAACCACUGCCUUAGACACUUUGACCAGCGAAUUAAGAAGCUUGUCCAAAGCGAAUAAAAGCAGAGCCGUGUAAGCGGCGCUUAACAUAAUCGAAAGUGGUUCUUUAGAUUAAAAUUGUAUAUACUUUGUAACAAUGUAACCCAAUAGUUUUGUAUAACCAAAAACGUUUCAUUACUUUCAACUGAUAUGUUAUACGAAAAUUUACUAUUGGAAGGGCUAGCAAGUCCAUUUUGUAUUUUAUACAAAUUCCUUAAUAUUGUGAAAAUUUAAAUAAGGAUAAUCAGCAGAGUCUGCAUCAAAUAUUAAGUGCCGCAAAAUUACCUCACUCCUGCCGCCGAGGUAACCUCAUACGGGAUUAAGUUCUAUUGGGGACGAUCCGUGACUAAACAUCAUGGCAAAUGACCCAAGUUUCGGCAUUUUGGUAACACUGUUCCGGAUGCCCAUUCACCAGUGCAACAUACAGCUCCCGCUAACAAGCUGCACGGUGAAGAAAACGAAAAUAUGAAGAUGGGAUUCAUCACAGAACGUUAUGAAAAAGAGGUAUAAGAAACAAUAUUGUUAACAUCGCCUCCAGUUCGCCCAGCAGUAUGUGAAGAGCGCAAGAUGUGACAGACGAAAUAUCUAUGAAACGUCAUGGGAGGCCCUGCGACCUGUAAUAUGUGGGUUUGGAUCUUUAUGCAUAGUGUUGGUAAACUCGCCGGUGAUUCAAUUUAGAAAAAAUAAAUAUUUUGAAUUGUUAGAAGAAACAUUCUUCCUGUCAGUACGCUGCUAUGCCUUGGCCCUUCCCAGAAACAAUCAUGUUCCUGCAGGAUAACUGCCCAAUACACAAGUAAAGGGCAAUUAAGAAGUGGUUCGGUGACCAAAACCGCAUGGAAGUCCUACCGCGGGCAAGCAAGGCAUGUGACUCAAACCCGAUGAAAAAUGUUUGGGCAAAUAUUGCCAAUGUUUAGAAAACGGCUAAUGAAAGAACCUCCCAAUAGCUGAUAGAUCAUGCUAAAAGGGAAUGAAAUUGUAUGAGAGGAAUGUCAGGGAGGAAACCGGCAUCUCACGUAAACAUGUCACCUCUGUCCUUGGGAUUAGGCAAGGAUUUGAAUAACGAUAGAUUAUUAUAAAUAUGGCUGCCCCCAG
Long non-coding RNA from Penaeus chinensis, 1442 nucleotides. RefSeq lists it as uncharacterized. The record is from RefSeq and is a predicted model, not a curated record. NCBI's taxonomy places the organism in Eukaryota, Metazoa, Arthropoda, Malacostraca, Decapoda, Penaeidae. The transcript has 2 exons.